This 43531-nucleotide long non-coding RNA is filed under the name Eucalyptus grandis. Its description in RNAcentral is "long non-coding RNA (EGRA_LNC002456)". Lineage: Eukaryota; Viridiplantae; Streptophyta; Magnoliopsida; Myrtales; Myrtaceae. The record is from RNAcentral.
CUCUCUCUCUUCUUCUUCUUUUUGUUGCCUUUGUUUGCAUCAGCGGUUUGGCGAAUUGCUAUUUGUCGGCAAUGUUUGUAAUGGAUAUGAAAUUCAGAGUUAAUUACUAGAUCCCAGAAUUUAAUUGAUUUCCUCGUACCUAUUUUUUCACAAUCCAAGAAGACCAAGUAGAUGAUGGAAGUAUUUUGAAGGUGAAUUAAAUCUACAAGCCUAUCCAUCUUCUUCUCUUCCUUGUUGAUUGUGAGCAUUUCACCUUCAAAAUACUCUAGAGAAGAAAGUGUAGAAUGAUCCUUCAAGUUUGAUUAGUAUCACCACAAGCAUUCACUUCAUCUUUGGGGUUGUCUUCCCAUGUGCCAUCUUCAUCGAUCUUGACAUCCCUGCUUAUAUACACUUUCAAAAUGUUAGGAUCAAAUAAACAAUAGGCUUUGGAUGAGGAGUUAUACCCAAUAAAGGUGAGCUUUUUGCUCGUCUUCCAGCUUCAAUUUUUUUGUUGUCCAGUACAUGAGUAUACGCAAUGCUCCCAAAAAUUUUCAAGUGCGAAACAUUUGGUGUUCUCCCAGUCCAUGCUUUCUAUAGAGUUACACCUUCGAGUCCGAAUGUGGGACAUCUAUUUUAAAGAUAGACCACACAUGAAACAGCUUUAGCCCAAAGCUUCCUGGGGAAAUUUUUGUUCUUUAAAAUGCUUUGAACCAUGUCGAGAAUGGUUAUAUAUUUUCGUUCAGCUAUGCAAUUUUGUUGAGGAGAAUACAAAGCUGUCAAGAAACACCGAAUACCAUGAUCCUCACAGAAUUUGUUGAAUAUGGCUGAGGUGAAUUCUCCACUACGAUAAGUUCUCAUAACUUUGAUAAAAUAGCCACUCUCCCUUUCAACCAAGUUCUUGAAUUGUUUGAACAUAUCAAACACUUUUAUGUUUUCCUUCAAAAAAUAGAUCCAAGUUUUUCAAGUAAAAUCAUUAAUAAAAGUAACAAAAUAUCAAUGAUUACCAUAUGAGUGAGGACUGAUUGGCCCACACAUAAGAAUAAAUCAACUCAAGCAGCCUCUUCGCUCGAUAAGUUGCUUCCUUCGAAAAACUAGUUCUGGAAUGCUUACCGAUAACACACUCUUCACAUAAUUGUAUGUGGUAAGCCAUAAACCAUCUUCUUGCAGGAAAGCAAAUUGAGUCUGCCAAAAUUGAGAUGGUUGAACUUCAAAUGCUACAACCAUGAAGGAUCAUCCAUACACCCCUUCAGACAUCGAGACAUGUCAUUCUUCAUAUUGAGAGUAAACAUCAUCUUUUUUGACAUCUUCACAUUCGUAAUUAGUUUAUUAUCAUUAUCUCUUAGCACAAGACUAAGAUUUUUCAUAUGAACAAUAUAGCAUUUCUCCAAAAGUUGUCCCAAACUCAUAAUAUUGUUUGACAUUUUUGGGACAUAAUAAACAUUAGUAAUAAACUAACCUACACCAUCCUUCAAGCGAAUCAAAAUUGUACAUUUGUCUUCAACAAGAAUUUUGUAGUUAUCAUCAAAAGAGACUUUCCCUUUAAUUAUCUCAUCUAACUCGGUAAGUAUCUCCUUUCUCCCACGUACGUGAAGCCGAUUGUUUAUUGACACCAUGAUCACAAACCUUAAGCUCUGAUACCCACUUUGAUGGAAGUAUUUCGAAAGUGAAUCGCUCACAAUCACACAAGAAAAUGACGAAGAUAAAUAAGCUUGUAGAUUUAUUUCACCUUCACCAUUUUUCACCUUAUCUCUAAAAACAAUCACUUUUUCUAAAAAUAAUCACCACAACUAGAAAUGUGAAAUACAAACAGACUCAUUAUAGAUAAUUACGAACAAACUCAUGGACCAAUGAUUUGAGGGAUACGUCCCAGGUUUUUUUUUUCAAGUGUGGAAACUCGAGGACCCGAAGUAGUAGGAUUGAUUCUCAUAAUAAUACAAGUGAAAUAUAUUGAAACUUUUUGCGAAAAAUUGUCGAAUUUAAAAAAAAUGUUCGACAGCAAGUUGAUCGGUUAAUUCAAUAAGAAAUGGUAAUUAGAAAAUUUCCCUCUAUUUUUUGUUUGUUCACUACUUUAUAUAUGUGUACAUAAUAAAUAUACCAAAUGGUUAUCGACACCGAUAAAUUAGGUUUAAUUUCUAACAGUAGAAGGGAGGGGAGGUGAGAAUAAACUGGGUACAUAGCCACCCUGAUUUCCAUGAAAGACAAAAGAAUUGGACGCAGCUGAGGGAGAUAGCAGUGUCAAAUCAUCACCCAUGGCUUUGUGUUGAUAACUUCAACGACGCGAUUAACACUGCUGAGAAGUGGGGAGGCGAUGUGAAGUCUGCUACGUGCAUUGAUGGCUUUAAAGACAUGUAGUUUGAUACUGCUUUAAUAGAUCAUGGCGUUAAGGGGCAGAGAUUCACCUGGUGUAAAAACAGAGAUGAUGGAACUAUAAGAGAAAAAUGGAGGCCUCGCGGAUGUCGUUUGGAAGAGUCUGUUCCUCCCUAGAACUCAAGUACUGCAUGAUCCUUCUACAGGAUCAGACCAUUUCCCGUUGAUAGUUUACCCUGAUUGUAGAGAUACGAUUGAUGCAAAGCCAUUCAGAUUUGAACACAUUUGAACAACCGAUGAAGGCCGUGAAGAAACGAUUCAAAAGGCAUGGGAUGUGGAAACUGAAAGAGAAGAUCUUAAACGAGUUGAAAGAGUCUUAAAAAAUGGCAAACUGAUCUGAGGUGGUGGAGUAAGAGGACUUCUGUUUAAUAACUUGAAGAAGAUUGAGCAGUUGAAAGCAGAACUGCAGAGCCUGCAAGAUUGCGAAGAUGGAAAUUUCUCCAAUCAAACCACCCUGAUUAGAAGAAGCAGAAACAAGACCUUGCAAAGUUAAAACAGAUGAAGGUGUUUUGGGGUUGACAACGAAAGGAGAUUUUGCAGUUUCCAAUCUGUUUAUUAUCAUAAUCUGUUUAGAUCAAAUGGUUCUCUGCCUUCUUCAUUCAAUGAUACCACCAUUGUUGUGACACAGAAAACUCCUCAUCCAACCUUUCUUGAAUGAGAUCUCGGAAAAUCAAAGUGCUUUCAUCUCGACGACGCCUAUUAUGACUUCUCCAUGAAUUCCGAGACCUGAAAUGGACUCCAGAACACCAAUUUGAAUUUAUAUCGAAUUGGUUUUGAGCCAGACACAAUCUAUUCAAACUUAACGAUUUCACUCGAUCCCAAUCUAUUUACCUUCUGCACAUGGAUCCUUCCAAGCAUAUUGAUAAGUUCAACUUAGUUAAAAACGGCACAAACGUCCUGUUGUUAACACAUAAAAACGGGAUUUAAAGGAGGCAACUCCACGGCGAUAAGUUCAACUUAGUUAAAAAGAGAGGCAGAGGAAGAUGGUUCCAAGCAAUUGGAGUGACCUCACUCCAUCUUCUUUUUCAUUUCUACUUCCUUCUGAUGUUUAAGGCAAUACCGCCCAUGAACUUUGCUAGUUUUUCCUUUAAAGUAAUGCAGUUCUUCUGUGGGCUUAAACAAAAAAAAAAAAAAAAAAAGAGCAGGUGGAAAGGAGGAAUGGUGAAUAAUCAAGGUCAAAUUGUCACGCUUUUCAGGUUCAAUUUUAAAUUCUGAACAGAUCAUUCAAUCUAAGUAAUUGAACUUUCCAACUGUUGAAUCCCAACAGCGUUGAAGUGGGAAAUGGUUGAACCAGAGGAUUAGGUAGCAUGUCGUCCAGAUUAUGGUCUAUGUAAAAUUCUAUAAAUGUAAAUAAAAAUGAAGUCUCGCAUUUUAUUUUUAGUCGACACAACUUCUUAGGAUUAAAUUACGACUAAUCGAUUUAUCACAAGCUCUUAAUCUCAACUUAAACAGUCAAUUCUAUACCAUAUUUGGGGAGACGAAUUUGUUCUUGUAUGAAAUAAUCAACUUAGGGCAACGUCUAAUAACAACAUCGAAAUAAGCUAUGCACUGAAUCGCAAUAUUUCCAUUUUGGCAUCACUUUCAAUCAUUUCCCAAUUUCACACAAACCCCGAAGAAACCUCUAAGAAACUUAGUUUUCGAGCCACAAUGAUUCCGAUAGCCUCAAUUUUCAAAUUCUCUCAAUCCGAAUUCGGUGGUGUUUAAACGCCCGUGCAUCUCACGCUUUGUCAUGAUUAUCUCAUAAGCAAUGGUGAUUGCUUAAAGAUAAAUCAACGAGAAUGAGGGACAAGAAAGCAUUGAUUAACAUGUUUAGUGCGGAUCAGUACCCCAGAUGUCAACAUAUUAUUACUAUAGAGCCGUGACCAACUUGGCAGAAAAGUACAGGACGCAAGAAGACAUCGUGGAAUAUAAUAGCGUGUUUAGAUUGGCAAAUCCCCCUCGAUAUCACAGCUUUCCAAAAGGAAUACUAAAUUAUUGACAUUUUCGGGUGGUUAGAUCCACACACAAAAAAAAAAAAAAAAAAAAAACUGUCUUUAACUCUAUUAAAUGCUUGCUUGAUGCUUCCUCUUUUAAUUUUAGAAAGCAAAAGCGGGGAAGGUCCUGGGAACCAUCCUCUUUUGAAAACGUGCUUGAUUAAAUUGCUUUUUCGUGUGCAUUUUCCUCGCAACAUGAGCAAGAUUACCUCGUCGUGGUGGUGGGGUCCAUCUAUUCUUCGUCUUGGAUUUUUUGGAAUAAUAAUGUUGGACUUGGAAUAGUAUUUUUUGCCGGUGGGGGAGCGCACGUCUUCGGGCUUGGAUCGUGCGGGUAGAGUCCUAGGUUGACCAACUGUUCCUCGUCAAAGUCAGAAAGAAUACCUUGGAAAUUGGAAAAUAUAACAGGAGGGUAUACGACCGGACUUCCUAGACCUUUUUCCUGGCUGUAAGUUGUGUAAAGCGCACUCUUGACUUUUAAAGGGUAUUGCCCAUCUCAUGUUUAUGCGUCAUUGGAGCUAUUAAAUAAAUAUUUUAAUUAUACCAAUUAAAUCAUAAAUAUUUUUAUAUUUUAUCAACUGAAUUCAUCCAAUUAAUUUUAUCAAAAAAUUGUUGAUGUGGAUAUUAAUCCUUCUACGUGGCACAACAGUCACUAAUAUGAAUAUUCUUAAACAAUAUUUUAAUUUUCUUUUCUUUUCUUCUCUUUUUUUUUAGACUAUGUGCUAAUGAGGGUCACCGAUCAGCCCUUGCCAGCCACAAUUGAGGAGUGCAACAAAAUCUCGGCAUCAUCGCCUCAGCGAGGGCCGCAAUGCCCUUGCCUUGUAUCAAUGAAAGUUGCCAGUCCCCAAUCAAGAAAAUAAAAAACAAAGAAAAGAAAGCAAAAGAAAUCAAAAAAUUAUUUAAAAAUAAAAUUAUUAAAAAUGUCCAUAUCAAUAUCAAUGUUAGUCGUGUCAUAUAAAAUAGCCAGCAGCUAUAUCAGUGAUUUUCAACCAAAAAGACCGAACAGACUCAAUUAAAAAAAUGUAAAAAGAUUUAAAACUAAAUUAACACGAUUAAAAUGCUUAUGAUUGAAUUGACAUAAAUAUAAUACAUUUAAGAUUUUUUUUUAUAAUUGCAACAAACGUGACAUAAUACAUCAGCUCAAAAAGAAAGUUGUGAAUGAUAUCGGGGUCGAUGUUAAGUUUGGUGAUUCAAUGAACAUCAAAUCGAUAUCGGAAUGAUGAAUUCGAAAUACAUUUGGGAGCAUUAAGCACGAGGGGAAGAGCACGAUUUGAUUUUUACCCUGACCCGGAAUCUUCCGUCCCCACCACUUUAAUUGAUGAAGCUGCUUUUCCUGGGCAACAAGACAGAUUAGGAUCAGCUCGAAUAUAAAUGGGCAGCAGAAACCUGAUCUCUCGGGAAUAUUCGCAGUUUAUUUUACGCUCUAAUGAAACCUUUUUUCCAGUUGUUUAUAACGUUAUAAAACUAUCGUCGCGUGUUUAUAACGUUAUAAAACUAUCGUCGCGUGUAACGUCACGACAGACGUCGAAAUUGCGCCUUUGUCCGCUUCCCAAUGGAAUACACCGAAAGGGAUUUUGUGGGCAAUGGCGAGUGGAAGCCACUCCAUACAAAGCACUAUAGUCUAUAGUGACUUGAAAAAAAUGAAAAUGCACAUAAAAUUAGGAAAAAAAUGAAAAUGCGAAAUUUAAUUAGAUAAAUGAAACGGAUUUCGAGAGUUCGUUCGAUUUGGGGAAAAUGAAUUGUUCGAAAACUUUUUCAAAAAAUAAUCAUUUGCAAAAAUGAAUUACCGAAAAAUAUUUUCAUUGUCGAUACGAGCAAUUGUUUUAAUAAGGUACUUUUAGAGUUAAUAUCAUUAAAAAAAAAAACCUCAAACUAAUACACAUGUGAUAAAUUUACUUUAAACUAUUAUUUUGACUAUUAAAAAAUCAAAUUGAAAUAUCUAUGACGGAUUUACCUACGUUAGUUUCGGUUAGAUUUUACUGAUCAAAUUGUUGAAUUGGAUAAUACAUGACAAUUAACGAGUGUACCAAUUUAGGGUUUUACCCAUUAUCGAAUUUGUGAUUUUUCAUGGUAUUAAUUCAAUUUAACGGAAACUAACAGUGGAUAAAUUUAUAACAAAUGUACCAAUUUUUGGGUUUUUAAUGGUCAAAAAUUUAGUUUUGAAUAAAUUUGUUACAGAUGUAUCAGAUUGAGUUUUUUUUUUUUAGCAAAAAAAUAGUUUAUGGUAAAUUUAUUAUAGGUACACUAGUUAAGGGUGCGAAAAGAAAUCAAGAAUUGCCCAAACCGCCCGCAAUUGGACUAGAUCAGCCUAAAAUUGACGAUUCCUUUAGAAAUUGGUUCGGUUCCCAGUUCCAAUUUGCUAGAACCAGUGAGUAUCAGCCGAUUUCCUAUUCUAGGUGUGGAACCGCCCACCUGAACUGAUAUAUAUUUAUUUAAAAAUGAAAUUUUAAAUCAAUUAUUUAAUUAUUUUGUAGUUUUUCUAUCAAUAUAUAUGUACAUAUAUAUUUGCAAAAUUAAACAUUAUCGACUCAUUUUGUCUCUUGGGUUCAUAAUAAGAUUAAAGCCCCAACUUUUCAUUCUAAUGAUCUAUUUACUUGCUUUCUUAAUCAAAACAAAAUAAACAAAUGAAACGAAUGGAAGAGACUGAUUGGAGAUGCUCAACCCGAAAUUAAGGUCAACAAGCUUUAACGUUCUUAAUUAGGGAUUGUUCCUGAACCGAACUGGCAGUGCAAUUCUCAAGUAGAUCUAUGAAAUUAACGGACAGUUUUCGAUUCUAAUUUUUCAACGUGAAAAUUACUCACCACUAAUACUAAUUUUGGAUCUUUCAUAGCAUUAACUUUAUUUUAUGUAAUUACUUAUUUUUGGCGAAACAUACGGAUUAAAAUAACAUGGGAAUCUUUCCUUUCUGGGUGAUAUAAUCGGAAAUGGGGAAAGGCGAAAAAGGCGAGUGGAUCGUGUCGCCUUCCUCGAAGGGGAGCUGACGGGGCGAAAGGAUAAGAUCGAGCCGAGAUUUGAGGUGGUGGUUGGUGGGUCACCUCUUGGCAUGGCAAACGUUACCUGCGUGAAAUUGACAGUUGACCUCUCCCCGUAGACUCGCCCCGGACAUGUCCAGGAUCGAUGUACUUCCGGUUCCAUAAUUUCUACGCCCACCUCGUCAUGUUAGCACGUGCUCUUUUUCUUGGCAGCUAAAUUAACGCGACCGGAAUAAGCAAAAAUUGAAUUGACCAAAAAAAGAAAAAAGCAGAAUAAGAAAAGGAAAAUUGCGUGGGCUAAACAUGGCUCCGUAGGUCAUUUGCCUCACGGGACUACGACAUUCGAAAGGCGACACUCAAAAUUACAUGAAUGGCCCUUGUCAUGAUCAUUCAUCAAGAUACCACCAGGGAAGUUAAGUAUCGAUUUAUAGUGGAUUGUGACAGAGUGAGAAAUUUCGAUAUCUAGAGAGAGACCAUUGCCAGAUCCGGCAAGGUCGACCCUUGCUUAAGGCCGACGAAAGGAAAAAAAAUGGGGAAAAAACAUAAGGAAAGGAAAUGAAAAGAAAAGUAAAAAAAAAUUAAAAAUCAACCAAAAUUAGCUUAAAUGAAUAAAUUGAUAAAUCGUUAAAAAAUUUGUGAUUAAGUUGGUACAAUUGAAAGAUUCAUAAUAAAAUUUAUCUAAUUGAAAUAUUUAGAAUUAAAUUAACCGUUACACAAUACGUUUAACACUUUUUUUAACAAUGGUUAAUACAUCGAAGAAUCUCAAACUAAUACAUGUGUAACAAAUUUACCAAAAAUUAUUUUUUUUAUCAUGAAAAAUCCAAAAAUUGUACACUUAUUACAAAUUUACUCCCGAAUGACCAUAAAAAAUUAUAAAUUGAUAUAUUUAUGAGAAAUUUACCAAAAAACCAAUUUAUUUGACCGCUAAAAACUCCAAACUAGUACAUUUGCGACAAAUAUACCUUAUGUUAAAUUAGAUUAAUACCACCAAAAAAUAUUUAAAAAAAAUUGUAAACUGUGACAAACGGAGAGUAAAAUCUUAAAUUGGCAUACCAGUCAACUGUUACGUAUCAUUCAGACAGUAAAAUUUAACGAAAACUAAUAAAGGGUAAAUUUGUCAUAAAUAUAUCAGUUUGAGAUAAAAUUAUCAAAGGUGUACCAGUUUUGGGUUUUUGAUGAUCAAAAAAUUAGUUUUUGGUAAAUUUAUCACAUAUAUAUCAGUCCGGAACUUUUCAGGGUAUUAACUCUUUUAGCAAGUCUCCCAAUCUAAUAAUGUAUCAAGUUAUGAGCCAGAUAGACAUAUGUGCUUACGGUAUAAAACUUCGAAUUCUCUUUUUCUUCCUGUAUAAACUUAUCCUUUUCUCUUUCCCUUUUUUAAAUCAUAAAUGUGUGAAAGGGUCUUAAAAGUAAUGGGAAUGAACGAGAUGGGACCGUCGACCAAAGAAAUAUAAAAAAAUGAGAUGGGACCCGCCCCGGGGGACAACUUGCGCAAGUGGACGAUCGACGCCAUAGUAGGACAACAUCAAGUGACUGGCAAGACGACAAACAACGUUUGGCAAGCGCGAUGACGUCACGGGCCUCCCUUUGUAACAAGGAAAGAAAAGACCACGUGUUUUUAACUGCUCGCCACGCAACUUGGGCACGAUCGCGAACUUUCAUAGAAGCUGAGGAUAAAGAACGAAAUCCAAUCUUUUUUAAGAAAUGAAAUGGAGAAAAGUAAAAUAAAUAAAUAAAAUUAAAAAUAAAAGGACAAAAUAUCGGUUCGCGCAGGGUGCAUGCAUCUGCUCGGGCUAUAUAAGCUUCGGCGUUCUGCCAUAACCAGAAGUUCAAACGACCGGGAUUCCUCCAUAAGAUCGGAUCUUUCCUGCUUUGGCGACGCCGGAAACCCGAAUUCAGUGCCCAAACAGUAGUCGACCGACCGACCGACCGACCGACCGGGAAGUUCCGAUCAUGGCCGUGGAGAUGUUUCAAGAGCCGGAGUCGGCGUUCCUCGACUCCGUCCGGCGGUACCUGCUGUCGGAGGACUCCGAGUGCCGGUUCUUCGAGCCGCCGCCGCCGCCGACCCGGAACUUCUGCGGCGCCGGAGCCCCGGUGAUCUGCGGGAGCUCCAGCUUCAGCAGCCUGUACCCGUGCCUGACCGAGAACUGGGGCGAGUUGCCGCUCAAAGAAGAUGACCCGGAAGACAUGGUCCUCUACGGAGUCCUCCGCGACGCCCUCACGGUCGGUUGGGCGCCGUUCCAGCCGAGCGGGCCACCCGGUCCCGGAUUCGGGGCGAGCCAGGUGGUUAAGCGGGAGCUGGAUUCCUUGCCGGCGCCGGCUUCUUCGCCGGAAUCCGUCGCCGCAGCCGCAGCCGCAGCCGCAGCCGCAGCCGCAGCCGCUGUCCCUCAGACGGAGAAGGCGGCCCAGGCGGCGGUCCCGGCGAAGGGGAAGCAUUACAGAGGAGUGAGGCAGCGGCCGUGGGGGAAGUUCGCGGCGGAGAUUCGCGACCCGGCUAAAAACGGGGCUCGGGUUUGGCUCGGGACCUACGAGACCGCGGAGGACGCCGCGCUGGCUUACGACCGGGCCGCUUACCGGAUGCGGGGCUCGCGGGCGUUGCUCAAUUUCCCUCUCCGGGUCAAUUCGGGCGAGCCCGACCCGGUUAGAGUGACGUCGAAGCGGUCAUCCCCGGAACCAUCAUCAGCAUCGCCCUCCUCCUCCUCCUCCUCCUCAUUGUCGUCGGAGAGCGAGACCUCGAAGAGGAGGAAGAAGGCGGCCGUGCCGGCGGGUCGGGCGGCGGCGGCUCAAUUCGGGUCGGAGCGAGUGGGGAAUGCUGACGCCGUCAACGGAUCUUUGCAAGUUGGACAGCAAGUGGGAAUGUGGACAAGUGGGCAGCAGCUGAUGGCCAGUGGAUGUCGACAGACAGUGAAAUGUGAAACCACUUGUUGAGGGAGCAGGACAAUUUUGAUAAAGAGCCCCGUGGACGAUUCGCCUGAGGAAUAUAAAUUCUUUGGAAUUUUGUUGGGAGUGGAAGUGGGAGAAGAAAAUUUUCGACCAAAAAGAAAAAUUGGGGAAGAAAUUAUUCUAAAUAUAUGUAUAAAGUGAAUGAAAGGGGAGAUUUUUUAUUUCUUUUUUUAUUCCUUUCCCUUGAACCUGUGAAUACAGAUUUUGUUAAUGCAUUAUUGAGAAGUUUUGUGGAAGCCACACAGUAGAUGCUUGAAGUGUGGAAUCUUUCCUUUUUCACGUUACCAAUCUAGAUCUAGUAGCUAUAAGAAAGAAGUGGGAAAUGGAUCUAAGCGCUUGCGAAUUCCCUUUUACAUAGAAAAAGAGGGGUCUGGAUAAGCACAGGGAAUAGAAUGGGUAUAAACCAAGUACAUUGAAAGCCGCCCGCUUCCCUAAUUGGCUACUUCUCGAAUAUCCAUUUUUUUAAUGGGCCAACAAGAUUAUAAAUAUUUAGAUUGCCCUUGUUUCGUCAGAAAUUUUGUUGUUAUUAUAGAGGUGAACAUGUCCCUACCUUUCCCUUCGGGGCUAGGGGACGAAGGUUUCACCUUCUGUCGGUGCAUAGUUUUUAACACAGGUAAAGAACGAAAUUUUCUUUGGUUACUUCAACAAUGUUCAACAGAAAUCAGAAUAUGCACAAGAGAAACAAAGUUUUCAUCUCAAGAAAAUUAAAAAGCUUUGAAUUCUGGAGAAAAAUCAAACGCCCUCUGAAGCGUGAAGUCAUAACUUUCAAAGUAUCCAUUUAGUCAUUAUUCGUUCGGACAACAGUUCAACCCGUUCCCACGUGUCCCAAAUGUGAACACUGAACGGCGCACCGAAAGCUCAGACAAGCGGGAAAAAACAUGUGGGCGUGCGCUCAAGGACUAAGGAUAAUAUAGCCUAUCUACAAAUUGCUUGUACAUUUCUUGACUUUUCAAAUUUGGAGUGGACUCGUUCGAUGUAUGUUGACGUUCAAGUUCACAUUCAAAGAGGACAAGAACAUUACCUAAAGCCUCAUAGAUCUGCUCGACAGCUUAAAAGAAAAGGACAAUUAGAGCUCAUUCAAAUCAAUGUUGUACAAUGUCAUUUGCACUGCCAGGCAAAUUCGCAUUAAAGUGGCGCCACAGUUCAUUUCCAAUUGGGUCAACCAUAAUAGGUACAAUUAGCUACCGGCUGGUAGAUCAGCAAAUUGAUGUAUCACUUGUGGCAAUUGGAUAGAUACAUGUUACUUACACCGCCGCAGCUUAAAUGAAAGCUGACACCAACCGGGAUCUAAUUUAUCUAAAAACCACACGCAUCUGCUAUUGGCCAGUAUACUUGGGUUUCCGCUUCUCGGCGAAUGCCGCUAAACCUUCCAAGCGAUCUUUUGUGUUCAAUAGUUGCUCGUAACAAUCCUCCUCCCAUUCAAGUGCUGAUACCAUGUCCAACUCUAAUCCUUUGUUGAUCGCUCUUUUAGCCAUCUUGAGGGCUAAUGGACCCUGAAAAUAAUAGGAAAUACUUCAAUCGUGUGAGGAAUGAAAGAUGAUAGAUGAUUCGACACAACAAAUUGACUGAAAAUUUCACCUGAACAUUCUUACAAGAUGUUAUCAAAGAAACAAUUUAUAUCUUUGAAUUGACGGGGCAUAUACUUGGCGAUCAAGAAGUGUUGACAAUCUCAAGGGUAAAGUACCAUGGACUACAUGGUUGUUCCCGUUUAAGCUAUUCAGGAACUAAAGUCAUAGGGCUUGCUACACUUAGAAGUUGGUAAUUAAAUAUAAACUCACUAUAUCGUGCUUUUGGUAAAGAUAACAGCUCGGCCCUUGAAGUUCUGAAUGAACAUUCUUAGAAGUUUCUCGUUAGAGUAUCUUUGAGGCAUAAUACGAUGAUUGCCAAUCCUAUUGGCAAUACAAGGCACCAUCAUGAGCCUCCCAUUUAUAACAAGCUUCUAUGCACUCCUUAAAGGGGAAAACAUUUUUGUUAAACCCCUUUUACAGUCAAACAGAUGUUCUAAGUUGAUGAACAGACUAACAAUCCUUCCACUGAUUGAUCCUUUAUCAACCUUCUAGUUUGAGGGCCCCUAGAGUAGUAAGCUGAACCCAAAAAACAAAUAAUACCACUAUCGGUGAUAAGUGGGAUAAAGCAUCUCUCAAAAAUUCAUUUUUGAUGGAUCAAUUCUUUGUUCUAGACGGCCAGAUAAAGUAUCGUGACUAUAUAUCAUGGGAUGAUCUGGUUGCUCCACCAUUUUUUUCCAUGUACACUUUCAAGAUGUGAAUAAUAGCAAAAAUGGAUGUUAUACCUUCUGAUUGAUAUCCCUCGCAAUCUCAAGUGCCUUUAGAUGAGCUUCACCAGAGGCAACACUGUGAUUGACAAGACCUGCAACAUAGCGAAUGUGAACCACUACAGCAUGAGUAGCAACUUCCUCCUCCCUGCUCAUCAAAGGGACAACACCAUGAACCACAUAAGCAUACCCAUAGAUUUUGCAUCUUUGCCUCCAACUCUCCGCCCUGUGUAUAUGAGUUCCUUUGCCAAAGACUUUCCCACUAUUCUAGGAAGCCUCUGUGUACCACCUGCUCUGCAAAGAAACAAACCAAAUGAGAAGUGAUUUCCCUUAGAUGGACGAUCUAAUCGCUCUGACGCUUAAAGAUGACAACAAAGAAAUGCCACAUGUUCAAGUCCUCUUGCAUAUUGCAUAUUUAUUAAUAGGAGACUUGACUCUUGAUGAAAUCAAUUUACACAGAAAGAAGAAUAAGCGACACUACUUAUUCCCUAAUUUUUCUCUGAUCUGUGAAAAACAGGAUCUCCUGCAGAACCAUAACAAAGUAUAACCGAUGAUUGCAUUUCAUGAGUAAGGUGCCUCAAAAGAAGAGAAAAAGGCAACAAUGAGAUUGGGGGCAGAAUAAUUGCAUCAGACUUUAUACAAUGAGUUCAAUAUAUGAAGCACAGAUAUGUAAGGAGUGGAGAAAAGACUCAGUUCUUAAAGUACUGAAGAAUUCAGCAAUUCUUAACUGUGGAGAGCCUAUUUUUAGUUAAAAUAAUUAUCCCAAGAAUAUCUAGAUUAUGCCACAAAUAUUGAUGCAGAUGAUGACCUGCCUUGCCAGUCCAAGUCUGGCCUACCGAUUUCUGAUUCUUAUUUUAAUGUCCUUGAUUGUCAUGACCUGCCUUGCUAGUCCAAGUCUGGCCUACCGAUUUCUGAUUCUUAUUUUAAUGUCCUCGAUUGUCAUAGAUUUGAUCAACCACCUAGAAAAUAAAUCUGCUUCAUACAGAAAAGCAGUGCCAUUACAAAAAGAUGAGUGAUAUAAGUUAACAAAAUUGUGUAAUACCCUGGAAUUAUGGCAAGUCCUGUUUCAGGCAAGCCCAGAACCGCAUCAUCUCCUGUCAAUAAGUGGCAAAGCAAGGAUGUAUGAGGGAUAUCUGACUUAUGAGGAACCCAGUCCUAACGUAAAAGGAGGUCGACUUGGAAGGUAAUGAAGAGCUAAUACCACAUAUUCGAAGGUCACAGGAUAGGGCCAAUUCAAGUCCUCCCCCUAAUGCUGCUCCCUCAAUAACAGCAAUAGUAGGAAUAUGUAGAUCCUAAAUUCCACAUUCAAGUAAUCCAUGUAAGCAAUCAAACAUAACUAGCAUUAUAGCUUUACGCACCAAAACAGAGGGAUCCACUAAGGAACAUCUAAAUUAAUCAGAAAGGCCAACAAGAGACCAGAAGCCAAUCCAAAAAGUGUCAAGUGGCUAUAACAUGGCGUGAAAGUUAGAAGGUAAAAAGGAGUUUGUGCAAAAGUGUACAAGAGUAGGUUAGUGAAAUGUGAUUCUGCAUAACUAUAUCCAUAGCUUAUAGCAUAAAAAUUCGUCUAAGCUCUCAGCUCAUCAGUCUGAUUAAGAAAAGGCACAUUUCAAACUAGAAUGCAGAUCCACAAUGCAAUCCAUGGAUUUACAGCAGCAAGAGUCAUCAGUCAUUUAUAAGGUCUUACAGACAAACUAUGCAAGUACAUCACUAAGGCAAAAAAUGUCUCGGGCUCGUCCAUGAUGGUUUGAAAAUCACACUUUUUUUUUUUACUUACACAGCCAAACUUUGAUUAAUUUGAAUUUAUCAUACAGGAAUUAAAUAAGCAGAUACAAACAGUGUGCAUACAAGAACAACGAAAGAAUUUGUAAUACUGAAGUGGAUGAUUAUCUAAAGGUUAAUCUUGCUUCAAGCUCCAAACUAGAAAACUAGUGCACCACAGACCAUACUAUGUUGAGCAAAAGCCUUGUGAUGUACCCUACCGCUAAGAGCUCUAGAGGCAAUAAAAAUGCAAUAGCUCAUAAGUGGGCAUCGCUGGCAGCAAGCAAAAUAAUCUGGUAUGAAAACAGAGAGGACAAAAACCCACCUCCAAUGAGGAGAAUGUCAAACGUAGUAAAUUCACAAAAAGCUGAACUUCAGAUGGGCUCAUUGUCUUGCGCUCCUGCCAACUCAAAGAAAGACGAGGGAAACAAUGAAGAAAUUGCAUAUGGAAAACAUGCUUUUAAAAAGGGUAAAAGAGGGAGGAAGAAGUGUAACCAAAAUGAAUAACAAAUGUACAAGAAGCGCUAUACAUUCUAAAAAACAUUAGCCUGUCAUUAAGAGUUAUCUACCCAAAAAAACAAUCGACAUUCUCGUACUCCCACCAGAAAGUCAUCUACUAUGAUUCCAAAAACAGCUUCUACAUAGUCAAAAACAUACAUCCGAUGGAAUAAUACAUUUAGCCUAAAAUCUUAGUAUUGUGAUGGUAAUACCUUUAAAUCAGCACCAGCACAGAACACUCUCGGCACCGCGCUGCAGAUCAUCAAAACAUUUGCUGAAGUGUCCUCCCUCACAGCUUCAAACGCGUUCUGUAACCCCCUCAACAUAUCCCUCCCUAUCGCAUUCUUAGCUCCAGGUCUAUCCAAGCAGACCUCGACUAUUCCUGAAGAUUGCAAUGAAUCCUUCUCAAGAAAAACCCUUGUUAAAUCAAAUCAAAGCACAUUCAAACAUCGCUCCUCACACCUAAUUACCAUAAGAAAUCGAAGAACUGUUCAACAAACUGCUUUUCGGUUUUUUAAGUCGUUAUCUCUACGAAGAAUACCAGAACAAUCUUCAGUUGUGGCCAAUUCUUGUGUCACUCUGGUCUCCCCGGAAGCUUCGAUCCUAACUCGCAAACUCCACUAUUGAACUCAAUUCAGAUUAUAAAGAACUAAAGAGAAAAACACAACCUUUCUUCUAGUCAACCAAUCAUCAAGCUUUUUCUCUGCUUACCCACGAACAACCAUCACGUCAAAAUCUCCAAAACACGCUCUUUCUCCUAAAAUCUCAAGACCCAUAUUUGUCCCAUUCACGAACAUCGUAGAGCAGGUGUCCAAGCCAAAAAACUAAACAUUUCACAAACUCAAUCAGCUAGGGAGAACGCGAAUGCAAGCGUGAAGUACCGGAAUCGGAAUCGGAGAGCCUGUUCAGUUUCACCGACUCCGACGCGGAGGUAGCCGACUCCAAGAUGAGGGUCCGCCGAGUUUGGAGCUGCCAAUUUCCGGGCACGGAAGUGAAACAUCGUGCGGAUGCUAUGGCCCUGGAGCUCGACGCGUGGCGAAUCGUUUCGCGCGGAUUGAAGAGCUUGGUCGGGGAAUGGGGAAGUGGGUUUCGCUUCAAUGAUCUGGCGAUGGUCUGGAGACGUGAAAGACUCGCCAUUUCUUCUCUUUCGGAUCAGCUUCAGAGCCGGCACUGAGUCAGCGAGCGGAACUUGAGGAGGGAGAGUCCGUCAAACGGCCGGUGCUUUGGAUUCGGGGUUCAUUUUCUUGGCUAUGUAUCAUUUUGGGAAAAUUUAGAAUAAGUAUCAAUGUUUUUUUUUUUUUUUUAAUGACCGGGGGAUUACCGGAGAUCAUAUGAGGGAUCACACGCAUUGAUGGAGCCUCACCGUAAACCGAUAUUUAGACAUAAACACUCAGGGCUAGCUCAGUAAACUACCCCCGGUAUCUCCACGUAAAUCAUGAGCAUUCAAAAAUUCGAAAUCAUCACGACUACCUACGGGUGGGAGCAUCGAUGUUAUUACAUUCAUUUUUCCAAAAAUGAGUUUAAAGUGGACAUUAUUUUUUUUUUAAAAAAAAUUCUAAAUAAAAAUUUAAAAUGCUAUUAUUUUCUCAAAUAAGAGCACAUUAAUUCAAAUAAAAGCUCGAAGUGCCAUCAUUUUUUUAAAUAAGGACCUGAAGUAGCCAUAUCACUCCCAAAUGAGGGCAUCAACUCACUAUUUGAUAGGGGCAAUUUUGUCUUUUAAAUUUUCCUUUUUUUUCUAUUUUUUUCCAUAAAAAACAAACUAAAAAAAUUAUUAAAAAUUUAUUAAAAAAGAAGAAGAAUAGAGAUAGGAGAGAGGGCUUUCUCCCGCCUAUGGCUACUGCCCCAUCGCUGGUGGGGCAAUAGUGAUGGCCAGCACUUGGGCUAGGACCAGCAACCCUCAUCGACUAGAAGCGAGAGAGGGUAGCAACCCUCUCCCAAAUCUGGAUGAUGGUCGCAAGCCCUCCCUUUGCCACCAACGACCCUCACCCAGCACCUUUGACCCUCGCCUCCGAUCAACAAUGGUUGUCGCCCCUCACCUAGGCACUAGCGACCCAUCAACCAGUGUGAUGGGGUGGCGACCACCAACGGGAGGGGCUCCUCCAGCCUCUUUUUUUUGUUUUAAGGUUUUUUAAUUGUUAAUCUAAUUUUCAAACCAAAAGAAAUUAAUUUAAUAGAUUAAAUGUGUUUUGACGAAAAUACCCUUGGUCAGUUGAAAUUUUUUGUCGACUGGUGAGCCGAUGAAGUUAGGCUCUUAUUUAAAACAAAUAUAAUCAUUUUAGAUACUUAUUUGAAACUAAUAUGGUUACUUCAUGCCCUUAUUUGAAAAACUGAGUGCACUUGGGGCUCUUAUUUAGAAUUUUUCCUUAUUGUAAAUAAGAGCCUAAAGGGUAUUUAUAUUCUCAAACUAGUGACUAAAAUUAAUAUUAUUUUAAAUAAGAGCCCAAAGUAUCUUCAUUUUCUCAAAGAAUGACAUGAAGUGGACUUUAUUUUGAAUAAGAUCAUGAAAUUGUCAUACCAAUCUUUAAAAAGGCUUAAACUCACCAGCUGAUGAAGGAUAUUUUAGUCUUUUUAAUUUUUACUUUUUUUUUCUUUUUUCUCUCUUUUUAAAAAAAAUAAAACUUAAAAAAACAUACACAUACAGGCCCUCCGCCUAUGGUCUUCAAUGCCGAUGGGGCGCGACGAUGGCCGCUUGGGCAAGGGCCGCCGAUGCCGGUACUACACAAGGGGAGUAGGGGGCGCACUCCUCACCCAAAUCUAGUAGAGAGUUGCCACCCUCUCUUGUUUUUUAGCAAGGACUAGCAAGCCAUCGUCGCCUCUGGCUAGUAAGGGUCGUCAACAUUGUUACCACCCCACCGGCGAUGGGGCAAAGACCACAGGUGAGAGGCUUCCCACCUUCCCACUUAGGUUUUUGCUUUAAAAUAAAAAACAUUUAUCUUUUUAAAAUUUUUAAUUUAAUUUAAUUGAAACUAAAUUGACUUUAAACAAAACUACCCAUGAUUAGUCAAAAUAAUUUGCGAGCCAACAAAGUUAAGCCUUUUUAGUAAUAACCAUAAUCACUUCAGGUUCUUAUUCGAAACAAAAUUUAUAUUAAGGCACUUUAAACUAUUAUUUGGAAUUUUCCCUAUUCUUUUGUUGAGUAAUGUACGAAUAAGUAAAUCACAAACAUAAAUUCUUAUCUAGCAAUCGAAAAUUAUUUUUUGAAAGUGACCAUCAUUUGCUUCAUAAAUUUCAAGAUAAUGACGUUAUGAAUAUCUAAAUUUUGCUCCUUAUUCAAUUGAGUAUGUCAAAUUAUUAUAUUCAAUUAAAUACCCCAACCUUUUCUGUUGAAUCGAUAAUUUGUAAGGUCGCAACUUGCUUUUGGUGGUAAAAAUUUGAAUAUUAUGCAGGUGCUUAAAUCCUGCAAUUCAUAGCACCUGGACCGCAUUUGGCAAAUUGGACUCGUACGAAUCGUAGUUGGCAUUUCGUGUCGUUUCCGUCAUGGGACGAUAUUAGGUUUGUUUGGAUAUAGUUCCAGGUAUAUGCCCAAGAAGAGAGAGAGGCCUUUGCCCGGCAUACUAUAAAUCUUUCCCUGUUCACUGGAUAUGCUUCAACUCUGCAAUUAAUCGAAAGCAAGCGAUUCACAUAUUGACAACCAGCAAUAGUUCACAGCAUCGCGCAACUUCCUAUUCAUCAACCUGUUCUUGCUCGACGGGUAACUAAGUGAUGAGUCGUGACAAUGGCUAGGCUUGGUUUUCUUUUCUAAUUCCAGUGGAUGUGAAGAUAUAAAGCACUUGUAGUUGAUUUUUUUUUUUUUUUUUUUGAGUGUUUGCGCUUCUCCAAGAUCAGGAAUCCACAACCUGUCUUAUGUUUAAUGGAAUUUUAGCAACGUUACUUCUUACACUGUUUGAAUGAAAGGUCGCAAGGAAACACAAUCCUAAACAUCAUGAUUCGUAAUGAUAGAAUUCCAUCAACAAAAAGGACUCACAAAGAUACAGAAGCUGGGCUCUAAUCAACGACCACACCAGCAGAAAACUCGCUUUCCCAGAAUAAUGCAUAUCCCACUCAAAUUUAUUUUCUUGUCACUUAAUAUCAGUUCUUUGCAAUAUCAGUUCUUUACGCCUUACACGAAUUUUUAUCGACUACGGCUUCAUGUCUGAACAAAUCUGCAUUCGAAAAACCUGUGCAAUUGUUUCAUUCUUGACGACUUGAGUGUGACUCAGGAGAUGCAAGAGCUGUUUCUGCGGUUGAUGAAAUGGUUAUAUGAUUUAUUUUACUAGGUCAGAUCAUGAUCUGUUCAAGGUCUCAGUUUGCUUUCCAUUUUCAUAGCAUUGAAUUGGAAAGUAAAUAUAUCACCCUGCUUAUGCUUUGUGACUUUUGGUAACGCAAUCAGCUCUUAACUGUUAGUGUUGUAAAAGAAUUGAUAUUGCUGGAUUGUCAGAUAUUGAGAAAAGGUUUUUCAUUUUUGUCAGUUCGCUUAUCCAAGCCAUUCUUACAUGGUGAAGACUGAAGGCAAAGCAAAUGAAUCCCCUUGUAUCACCAAAUGCGUAGAUUUUUGAACACUUGAUGUGCUAGACCCGACAUAGACCUAUUUUGUGGGAAAAAAAACUUGGUCAAUAUUGAAAGAACUCGGACUAGAACUGGCACCAACAUGAUCUCUUAGCACUUGAGAGACUACAAUUGAUCUGAAAGAAAAGGUGCCUUUUCGGUGUUGACCCAAUCCAUAAUCUUGCCAGGUAGCUUCUAACUUACUGUAAUGCCUUUAAUUAUAACAGAGAUCCUGAUAUAGCCAUGUCUUGUCUUCCAAGCAUCUUUGAUGAACACUGAUUAAGUUAUAAUCAAACACAAGAGAAGGGUAUGAUGAUACUGGUGCUUGAACUUGCAUUUAAAUUUUACAUAUUUGAGUGCAAGUACUCUCGUUCAAUGAGAAGAGAUGAAAAGAGUAAUACAGAAAUAAAUCCACCUGAUUUUCAUGAUAAAGACUUUUCCUUGAUGCUUUAUAUACCACUGUCAAUGAUUUCAUGGAUUCUGAAUCCGGCUACAAUACCUCCAUAUCAGAUGCGACCUCAGAAUGCCCCCAACAUUUUCAGAUAAAUAAGUUCUCUUUAAGGCUGAAACAUGGCUUACUCACUGAGGAACAGAAAAGGAGAAGAUGGCGUGCUUAAGCUCAGGCAGUUCAGAAGGCAAUAAUCACUCCAACAAUUCUGGUCCAGGUCAAACAAAUAAUAGAACUCAAAAUGCAAAGCAACGACUUGUCAAGGUAAGGCAUUGACUUGUGAUGUGGAGAAAGUAGCUAAUGCGGAUUUUGUUAUGAAUACUCUGGCAUUUAAUUUCAUAUCUCUUUGCCACUUUAUGAACACUGUGUUCAGAUCCUAUUGAUCCAUCGUUCUAGUCUUAGCUGCUUCAUUGGAGGUCCAAGAAUGGGUUUUCUUUUCUGAGGACACUUCCAUUUCCCAGCAGACUCCUGCACAUCAAAACUGCUCUGGAAAUUAGUUAUUUCUGAUAAUGGUUUCAUCUUGGCUUCAUCCUCUAUAGCAGCUGACAAAACAUUUCCUUUAGCAUGUGAGCACUGGUGCAAAGCCCUCCGUGGCCUCGUCAAUUCAUCACUUGCACUUGUAGCUUCCUUCCUCCUUAUGGAAACAAAACUAGUGCUGUCAUUAUCUCUUCGAUUGUUUUCUUUGUCAUGACCUCCGUGAGUUGAUCUUCUUGUUGAAGUUUGAUUGACUGGAGAUAAGCCCAAAUCGCCAUCAAGCAGUGUGUGAGCAACUUCCCUAUUCUGGGCCUUCAGUCCCGAGCCCUCUUCAAAUCUACCAAUCAACUCUCUACAAGCUUUUCUUUUACCAUUGCUUGAGUUCUCGUUGAUAUUGGAGUGAAAAAGGAUGGCUUCUUCAGAAUGAAGUUGCUUUGGCCUCUUAUUUUUACAAUCCCAGUCAUUGUUUAGCAAAGCUUUAAAUUCCAUCCUUCCAUCAGUAAUUUUAGGGCAAGGAAUCUGAGGUAAAAGAUGUCUGUCCCCUUUAGAUGUACUGCCAACCUGUAAAUUUUGAACAUUUUCAUGGAUUUAGGAACCUAAGUAUCUUGCUUUUCUUUUUCUUUUCUUUUUAUCUUUUUUGUUUUACUAGGAGAAACUUAAGCAUAUUGUUGUCCAAGAACUAUUUGAUCUAAACAGAGAAACACAGAGUCAAAACCACCAAGAACUUGGCUGACUAUAUUAUACUAAUAAAAAGCUGCACUUCCUAAACAUCCAUACUGAAGGACCAAGGAAGCAAAGAAAGAUUACCUCAUCCAGAGUGUGCUGAUAUUCAUGCUCAAGAUCUUCAUGAGAGCUGCUACCGAGGACAGAGUUCAACCGUUCAUUGAUCCCCGUGCCACCAGCUAUUCUCUUACCUGACAAGUUAUGCUGAUUGUCUUCUUUUUCUCCAAUAACAUUUUUAAGAAUCAAAUCAUCUUUCACAUCACCAUUGUCCUCAACAGGAGAUCCUGGGAAGGUGCUCAAUUCUGGAGAUUCGUAGACAUAGCUUGAGAACCAAUUUGUUAUGUCAGGAGGCUCUGACAAACAUGAAAUAACUCAUUUUAGAACAUACAUAUGUCUAGAGAUAUGUAACCCACAUAGACUCGCACACAUCACGCAGUCUGACGUAUCAGCCUGCUGGGAGACCUACAAUUGAGUAACUACCAAUUUUCAUCACUCAUCUAUAGCCACUUAGAAAUCUUAACAGCUUCAAAGAGGUGAAACAAUGGUGCCUUUUAAUAUAUGAAAGAAGCUAUACCAACCAGAGAGUGGCAAAGAUGGGGUCAUAGAAUCUGCUAUCUGCACCAGAAGGGAGAAAAAAACGUAUCAUUAAGAAUGAAGACUGGGCUUUGAAGUUAUAUUUAGCUGUACAGCAACCAUUGAAGAAACACAGAGGAAAGCUGAUUACAAGAACGAAAGUCAUUAUUAUGGAAGAGCCAUGGGGAUCACAAAGUGGGUUCUUCAUCAAAACACAUAAGGAUUAUGCCACGGCAAACCCAAUUCUAAACACCAAAGGUUGCAGAACAAUACCUUGGUCGGAGUUUGAUUGUCACGAUCAUGAUUUAUGAAUGAGCCACCACCAUUACACACAAGCCCAUUGGCGUGUGGUACCUCAAGGGCACCAGCAGCAUCACCAUCUUUCACUCUGGUUACUUCCCCUGAAUUUCCAUGCUCUUUCUUGCUCUCGCCAGUAAAAGGCCCUUCUUUCUUGCAUUCGCUUUCUCCGGAGACAAAUUCUCUGCUGCAUUCGCUCAACUCAGGUGACUCAUACACAUAGCUUGAAAACCAUUCUCCGACAUCAGGAGGUUCUGCAUCAAUCAAACAAGAAUCAGUAUGAGUACCAAAUCAAAAGUAGAAAUACUUUUACAGCUUGCAGAAAUGGAAAAUCAAUUCCCUUAUUUUCCAUUUCUGCAUAACACCGAGAGAUCGAUAAAUCAUAACCUUAGCAAAUUAAUACCAACCUGAAAUUUGCAAAGAUGACUCCAAGGAAUCUGGAACCUACAAAAAGAUCAACGCAAAAGGGUAUUAGCUUUGUCCGAAGUUUCUUGCCAGAGCUAAUAGCACAACAUGAAACCCCCCUCCCCCAAAAGAACAAAAAAAAAAAAAAAAAGAAUUUUUGAAGCCAUUCAGUGAGCAAGACCAAAUUAACUCCCUCAUUCAACAAAACUGUAUCCAGUAAAUCACCUCUGUUGGAGACUCUUCUACAAGCUCAUUGCUCCCAAAAUUACCGGCAAACUCAUGAGCGCCCAAUCGGUCGCUGCCUCUGCCUCUGCCUCUGAUGCAAUUCGAACCUCGCGAAGUCGCUUCUCCUCCUCCUCCUCCUCCUCCUAUUUUGCCAUCGUCAACAACGCACCCAUUAUUCUCGCGCUCGCUCUCGUCGAGAACAGAACCCAGAAACCCCUCGCUCGUACCCAGCGAAGGCGACUCGUACACGUAGCUAGAGAACCAUCUCCUAACAUCGGGAGGCUCUGCGAGGCAACACAUCAAGCAAAAAUGAAUCAGAUUCUUCCCGUCGCUAAGCAAGGCGCCGAAAAAGACACGGAAAUCUAAAGGAAAAACGAGAAAAAAAAUUCAGGGUCGUAGAAAAGGUGCGAAAUUGCGGUCGUCGAGCUACUCUAGUUUCGUAGGGGAAGAGGCACGAGCGAUCACCCACCGGAGAGGAGCGAGGGCGAGCAGGAAGAAGCCGAAAUCUGGGAACCCGAAUGCGGGGUUAGCAUCUGAAGAACAUGGCAAUUGGCAUCCGAGGUUGCAGACUUCGACGGUGAAGAUGAAGAGCGAGUUCGUACCUGCGAAUCGCGUACGCUGAAAGGAGCGCUGGGCUUCAUUCGAGCUGGUUCGUCUCUCUCUCUCUCUCUCUCUCUCUCUCUCUCUCUCUCUCUCUGACCUUCGAUGGGGAUUGCACGUGCUGUUCCGGGUCCUUUUCGAGGGAAAUGAUUGGCGCCAAGGGUUUAAAUUUUGGUGCGCCUCGAUUUCGAUUUCCCCUUUCUAUUUCAUUUGUGAAAAUUAGGGUUGUUAGUCCUCUUAUUAAUAUGUCUAUUUUUUUUGCAGUUUGAUCCUUCCAUAGUUGCAGAGUGGCUCUCUGUGUUCUGCAAUUUGAGAAAUCUGAGUCAUUUUGCAAACACAGAAAGCGUACUUAAAUAUUGAUAUGCAUAUUUAUCUAAUAGUGAUUCCACAAAAUCUCACAUUAUAUUAGAAUUUAAAUUUUCUUAAAUUCAUAUUUGUCUCUCCAAUUACAUAUUUUUACUCUUAGUAUUAGACAAAAAGAUCAAAUUAAACGUGAUGAUGAGUGAUGGAUUAUUUAAAAUUAACCAAGCAUUCAUCUAACGUUUGUUAACAAUAAUCUCACAAACGUCGAGAAAACGGAAAAUAAGUGAAAUGUGGAUUGAGAGAAUAGGGGAGGAACAUUAUGCCCCCAAGUCGACGAUUGUCUAGCCUUUAAGGCUUCCAAUAAGGAUAGAUGUAAUAUAUUCAUUAACAUAAACUAAUCUAAUAAAAAGGCCAGACAAGAGAGUUGAUAGGAAUCCCAUAUAAAAAAUGGUUUGUAGUUUGAUAGUAAUGUUCAUGUCAGUUAUUCUAAUAACUGUUAAGGAAGUUCAAAACGAAUGCAUAUGAGAAAUAUUUAGUUCUUGAAAAUAUCAAAUCUAAAAUACUAUCCUAAUCUUUUGUCUUUUUUCAUUCAAUAAAUUUCUAUCUUAAUUAACUUAGAAGGUAUCAAAGCAUGUCAAUUGCAAAUCAAAUGUGUUUGUGACCGUGCGAUAUUUGAGUUUGUUCAUUGGGUAAUUAGUAAAGGAGCCAAAGUUUGUAGGUUAAGGGAGAGAAGUGCCCCUUAAUGUUCCACAAUCAAUGUAUGGGCAUAAAGGUGAGAGAUAUAAUAUGGCAACACAUGUAAGAAGGUGUGAUUGAAUGCUAUAGUUUGGCAAUUUGGUUUAGAGAUAUGACCGAUAAUGGUCAUAUUGAAGAUUGAUCGAGGAAAUGGAGAGAUUGAUCAAGAUAAAGCAUUCCACGAAUGACGGAUUCACGUGAGUUUGAUUCCAAAUAAGGAUAUGGUUUCUAAUGAAGUGAAAGUGUUACUCAAAGUAGCAAAAAAGUCAUUCCAAAAUGUCAAUAGCAUGGAGAAUUAUGGACGAGUCUUUCAACCAAAUCAUCAACACACACACCAAAAUAAAUGUGGUCCAACGAGUCGUUUUUAGUUAUCAAUAAGUAAGAGAUAACUUAUAACAUAAUUUUUAUGAUGUCUAGCAUUUUACACUGCAACUUCAAAAGUAGUAUGCUUUUCAAACAAAAAAUAAAGUGGUAUGCUUAUUUUGGGAUGCAAUUCAUCUACUAUAGUUAGAAAGAUUGUAGAUACACACAUUAUUUGCGAAUCAAACAUUCCAAGAAUUUAUCAUGCAUUGUUGUUAUUGAGAGAUAGAUAUAAUGUGUCAGCCGCAUCGCUAAGGUAUGCAUAGUGAAUACAUUAUUCUUCUGUCUUCAAGUAUCAUUGACCAAAGUAUGAAGGAAGUUUCAUCACGGUUGUUGUAAUAUAAUGCAGAAAUGCCAAUAAACCUUGCAAUUAAAUCAAUGCAAAAUCAUUAGAGAAAUAAACAAGGAACAUUAAUAACACUAGAAAUUUACGUAGUUCAACCCAAGUGUUGAUACCUACACUAUAGGGAAAGCUAGUAACAAAUAAUUCACUAAUCAAUCAAAGAAUUAUAGAGCCACUCACACGCUUGAGUAUUUUUUAUACCUACAUUACACCUUAACCCAGAGUGUUUUGCCUUACAAAUUAUCAUCUCAUUGCCCAAAACACUUACGUUUCCACAAAGAAAACAACACAAUUUGGGUGUAAAGUCCUUCGCACAAAUCACUAUUUGAAGCUUCCUUCAUUAGCAGCUCAAUCAAUGAUCGAUCAAACUGUCGAAUCUCAAGUGAGCAACGGCUUUUCUUAUUUAAAGUCGUUUAUUUAUUUAAAAAUCUACCAUCUAAGUAAAUCAAAGAUUAUCAUUUGAAAGGAAAGCAAGAAAAAUUGAAGUCCGAUUAGGACUCUUUCCCUUAUGCCUCAUCUAACACAAAUCGGUUUACAUCAUUUAAUUUGGUUAGGUCUCAUACACAGCUUAAACUUGAGGCAUUAAUUUAACAAUUUCCACAUUGGUUCAAUGUUAAAGGCAAGUCAUAAUGCUCAUCAUCUAUGCUAGCUCUCCCAACGCCUCAAUGGAAACUCAACCAUCACAUAUGUUUGUGAAACCCAAGCAAGGUUUAAAUUAUUUAGAGGAAUGAGGUUGUUCCACAUGUUCCUAGGAUUCUCCACCGUAAGAAGUUUCUUUGCAAUCCUAACGUAGAAAUUUCAAUCAUCAAUGAGUUCAAUUCUCCUGCGAUAUUUCUAACUUUUAGUUUGUACUAUUCAUGGUAUAACUCAAACAACCAAUAAUACUAAUAUGUUAAGCGAAUGGCAAAUGUUUCACCUCCAUCGAAGUACGCAGUGAUAGACUGGACAAUUCAUGAUACAUAACAAGUAGAGUACUCACGGAAUUUUUCAACUGCAUGUUGAACGGUCUUCAAAUUUUCCAAUGUAACUCUCCCAAGUCACUCGCAAUAUUCCAAUAGUCUCUCUACAUCUUCAUUCUUGAAGUUGUCUUUACUAUGCCCAAAAACUAUUUAUUUCAAUAUCUACAUACAAUUGUAUUCACUGCUUCAUCCUAUAAAUCUUCAUCUAAUCCAACAUUUAAGAGUAAAGAGUGAGACAUCAACAACAGCACGAUGUUUCACUAUGUCUUCCUGUGUGGCAAAUCGAGCUAAGCUCAUCAAAACAAAAUGCAACUCUUUAUCAAUUCUCAAACUUAUGGUCUUUUUUCCUAUCUGCCUUUAAAUCAUCGUUUUUCAUGACUUGAACCAACCAAACACCUUGCUCUUGUGUUUAAGAAGACAAAUCCAUACUUCCUUUAAAAAAUCAUCAACAAAGGACAAUACAUACCUAGCACUCCCCCAAACAAAACUUGAGAGGGCCCCCAUAAGUCUAAGUAUAUGUAGCCUAUGAUCUCCAAGAUUUGGUGAAUUUCUAUGCUAAACUUCACUCUUUGCUGACUCUACAUAUCGUAGUGUUCACAAAAGUUAAGCUUCCCAAUUUGAUGGUCUCUUAAUAGACCCCUUCGACUCAAAACAAUCAUCUCCCUCACAUUCGUGUGUCUAAGUCUUAUUGCCACGCUUGUGUUUUGUCCUAACUAGAAGUAUUAAAGAAUCUAGCAAACAAGCCAAUCACUAUCUUUCCCUAGAAGAAUUACAAUCCAUGGUCUAUCUUCCCCUACAACAUAGUAAGCACACCUCAAGAGACCUUUAUAACUCCUCCACCUUAAAUAUAGAUUCAAUAUCCAAACUUGUCAAGAGCACUCAAUGAGAUAAGAUUAUUUCUCAACUCUAGUACAUGCCUUGCAUUUGUCAAUAUUCGUACCACUCCAUCAUGCAUCUUAAUGUGAGCUAUUCUAAUCCAUACUACUUCAUAAGUAGCAUCGUCUUCCAUAAACACCUUGCUACCCUCUGUGCAAUGAUAAGUAGUGUAUAUGAGAGAUCACGUGAUGAAAACAUUUUGAGUCAAGCACCCAAUAGUCACUUGAUGAACUAAUGGUAAUUGCUAACACAACAAUGAUAUCACUAGAGCUAUUCUGUGUUGCGGUAACAAUAUUACAUUCACUUGCAAACUCCACCUUAACUCAUUUACCCCAGUACGUUGGACAAUCUCUCUAGUGCCCUACCCAUCACAGUGAUAACAUGGGUGAUUUCAAAUAUUAGACUUUGAUUUAGAACAACUCUUUUAUGCGUUACCUCUAGACUCUCUUCGUUCAUCUCUAUCUCGGAUAAACAAAUCUUGUGUUAGAGUUAAUAUUUGUACACUUGUAAUAAAUUUACUUAAAAAUAAUUUUUUGAUCAUAAAAAAUCUAAAACUGGUAUACAUAUGACAAAUUUAUUUCGAAAUGAUUUUUUAAUCUUGAAAAACCAUAAACCAAUAUACAUGUAAUAAAUUUACUCAAAAUUAAUUUUUUAAUCAUCAAAAUCCAUAAAUCGGUACAUGUGUAACAAAUUUACUCUCCGUAAGUUUAUGUUUAAUUUUACUGUCAAAUUCCCAAGUUAGACGACACAUGGUGGAUGACAAGUAUACCAAUUUUGGGUUUUAUCUUUUGUUUGUCAUAUGUGUAUCGGUUUUUAUGAUUUUUCGUGAUACUAAUCCAAUUUAGCGGAUGGUAUAUAUUGUCAUAAAUGUAUCAUUUUGGGAUUUUUUGCCGACAAAAAAAUUAGUUUUGGAUAAAUUUAUGACAGGUAUACCGGUUUAGGAUUUUUUGCGGUCAAAAAAUUAAUUUGAGGUAAAUUUACACUUUGGGAUUUUUUGCGAUCAAAAAAUUAAUUUGGGAUAAAUUUGUUACAUGUGUACUAAUUUAAAGUUUUUAGUAGUCAAAAAAUUUGUUUGGGCUAUAUUUGUCAUAGAUGUAUUAAUUUGAGGUUUUUCAUGGUAUUUGCCCUUUGCAUCAGUAACUUCUUUUGUCGCUUCUUAGAUAAGAAGGCGAACUUUGCCUCUUCCAAAAUAAUUUGGUAGAGAUGCCAACAACACCAUAUCUUGUUUCUCAAGGCUUUAUUGAUGUUUUUUAAUUCUAUCAUGAACUUGUUAAACUCAUCUAAGUGGGCUCGGAUAGAUGUGCCCACAUCAUUUUUUUCUCUUUUCCCUCGCAAACCUUUUGUCCCGCUAUUCUAUAUACGUCUCUAUACACUUGAGUCACAUGUCAGCGGGAACUUUCCUUAUUUAAGUUCACUUCUUUAUCUGAAUCGGCCGCCCCAGUAUAUCCAAGAUUAUCACUUGUCUCAUCAAAUUAUGACUCUCUCCCUUACGUCUCAUCUAACACGGAUUUGUCUACAUCCUCCACUCGGGUCUCCAACACGGUUCAAACUUCAGAUAUUAAUUCAACAAUGAUCACGUAUAAAAUAAUACAUGGGACAAUGACCGAGAUGCUGUUCGUAACCACUCGCGAAGGUUACGGAAAUAGAGGAAUGGCCAAGAGACCCUUUGGAGAAAUUAAAAAUGUAAGUUGAAAUCUGCAUGUACUGAGAAUCACUGCUUACGUAACAUCCACCAGUUCUUAGGUCUUUGAAAAACAAUAGGAGGUGCAAUAGCUUAUUGAGCUCUUGACACCAAAUCCAUCUAAAAUAAGACGCAAAGUGGAAACCGAAGUACUUCACUAAUUCACGGGAAGAUAAUCUCGUUGGAACGUAUCGAUCCAAUGCCGACUCGAGCCGCUCAUCCGCCAACUUCUCCGGGACCUCAGGCAUCCCUCCUCUCGCUGCAUUUCCACUCAUUCUCUGUUUAGCUUCUUGAGCAUUCAAUCUGUCCCGAAAACGCAAUAUUCUCCGCAUCUCGCAAUUCAAACAAAAGGAAAAAAACAAGAGAGAAAUCAAUCACUAAAGCUCGAGAUCACAAAGGACUAUUAUAGAGAUGCGACACCCGAGCGAGCGGAUACGCAAAGCGAUCCUGUCCCAAUCGAUAACAUGGUAAAGGGAGAAGAAAACAAGAACAGGAGAAAGAACGACAACGCGUCACGCUUCUUCACCUACGCAGGAGCAGCGUUGCCUGCUCCAACGUGAUGCACAUGGCGAGGCCUUCGUCUCCGUCCAAUGCACGCGCUAUGGGACCAAUCGCGAAACCAGAAACGAACUAUCAAAUAAUGAAAAAGACCCCAAACGUGUCUGUGCUCGCUGCAUUCUAUAUUCUAAAAUGUGUAAUAUAUUUUCCACGCGGGUACCUCUUAAUCUUUCUUAAUUCCCUCCUUGUCCCACAUCGCGAUUCACGUUCUUUCUUUAUCGUCAAAGUGAUGCACUCGAAGCUGGUGGAGCCAAGCACAACGACCUUAUCUCUCACACUUAGUGGAGUAUCUACGUGUUUUUGGCUUAGAUCGAUGUCGUGGGGACCGUAAUACAGCGAACGCAUGAGGAAAAAAACGAAACAGCGCGAAUCUCCGAGCGAAGGAUACCAUGCAGGGCGCAUCUGAGGAGGAGGUGGACUCCACUUUAGCCCCCCAUGCAACUGACCUCGAUUAGUCUCGAGCUGGGGCAGAACGUUGCCGCAACGAUCUCUGGUUGAAGGGCACUUUCUGAAACUCGCACAGCACCCAGACACGACCGGAAAGCUAGGGUAGACCGUUGUCUUCCCGGUCUUGCUCACUCGUUUAUUCGUUUUUAGGGUUUCGGUCGAUAGCGUUACUUCUUUGUGGUCCUCUAUUUCGCCUGUUUUCGCCGUCCAAUUACGACGGGGAGAUGAUGUCGAAGUAGACAUGACCGCCUCCCUUUGCUCGCUGCCAACGCCAUAGUUGAAAUCGAAUUGGCUGACUUUUUCCUGGUUGAAUUCCCGCUUCCUGGUCGACAAGUUCCUCGGAGUCUUAUUCCAGGGUUCUCUCGGGAGCAAGACGAGAUUAUGUGAACACAGUUGGUCAGUGGAUUGGUUCAGAUUUGUGUGUUGGAGAACAUGGGAGACGUCGGAAAAAAAAAGCCAAUGUCGUCGUAGCAAACUGAUGUUGACGAAACUCGUUCAAAUUCCAUGACUUUGUAGCUUGAUUUUUCCCCUCCCGAGCUUUAGGAAGAAAAGGAACAGCUCGUGUAACUUGGUGUGUCGGUGAUUAGGAAUAGUAGUGCCAUGGACUUUGAAGGACAUGCGAUGUUUGACAUAUUGAUUGUUAAAGCAUACGUCAACCAGUUUGAUCCAAACACUCAUCAGCGCACGGUCGUGGACCGUGUGCACCCUCAGAGGCCUUGGGCAAUUGAAUAUUGCUUAAUAUUGAACCGAUCAAACUUAGACUGGCCUUGAAAAACAAAGACCAUUGGAUGAAAUGUUGAUCGAGAUCAAUUGAGUAAUUCGAGCAUAAAUCAAGUUCUUAAUUUGCUCAGUAGGUGUAUAUGCCAAUUAUUACAUUUAAUUCGCCGGUCCAAUAAAUCGAGAGAACGUAUCUUGUUAUAUAUUUUGUAUUACUUUAUGACCGUAUGUAUCUCUAGGUCUAAAAUAAUAAUUAACUAUAUUCCAACUUGUAUGUCAAUUUCGAAAUACACACGGUCAAGCAGAUUACUUGCUGAGGAUUCUUGAAUUUUAUAGACGUGUACACAUUCUAGGUCAAAAUCAACGUUAGAUGGUCGAAUGAGAUCGAAAACGCCGAGUCCUAAACCGCGAAAGGUCCACGUAGAUUAAAAAAAAAUUGGAAAUGGAAAAAGAAAAUAACUUUUAAGCAUUCCACUUUUCACGACCUACUCCAACUGCCAACUAAAAGUCGGUGGGGCCCAAGAGGAGGAAAAAAAGGACAGUAGUGCCCCUUCAUCUCCUGACAUCUCCUCUGCUGGUGCGGGGGCAUUUCCGUCAAAUCGCCAUUAAGCCGCGGCCAGCCUGCCGCGCUGACCUGUUGCCACGUCAUCCGGGAGGCAUUUCCGUCAAAUCAAGAUCGAGCCGCGGACUGCGCUCUCUCGAGUUUUGGUGAACCGCGUACGCCGCCCGCCAUACGAGCGGGUGCGAAUCGUAAUUACGAGCCAAAAGCCAGGGUAAAGAGUUUACAUUUUCGACUAUAUAUACGCAACUUCGUCCCGGCUAAGCCACUCGGUUUCGACUCUCUUUCUCUUUCUCUAUCUCUGGAGCUCGUGCAGACAUUUCAAUGGCGAUCGGCGCUAUCAAUCUUCACAUGUUUCAGACUGCUUGCGGCGGAGCCAGCUUCAAGCGCCGCCUCUCAUCGCUAAACCCUUCGGCAUCUUCGGCGGCCGCCGCCGUCAGACCCAUCACCUCCACCGAGUCGGCUCGGAAACAGCUCGCCAACCUCGACCGCGUCCUCCAGAAGGAAUCCACGCCGGCCUUGUCGCUCCCGCAAGGGCCGCAAAAGCCAGCUUCCGAGCCAGACUUUGGGUUCGGCACGUCGUCGUCGUCGUCGAAGAAAAGGGGCAGGGGACUGUUGCAGCGCUUGAACUUGAGUCGAAUCUGGCCCGAAAUCAAAGCGGCCGCGGAGGAGAUGUCCCCGCGCCGCCUCGGCCGGCUCCGGCGGCUCCUGUCGAAGAACCCGGAGUAUUCCCCGAGGAACGGCCUCGGGAGCCGGUGGCGGCAGUACCACGGCUGCGACGACUGGGGGGGCCUGCUCGAUCCGCUCGACGAGAACCUCCGGCGGGAGAUGAUCCGGUACGGUGAGCUGGUGCAGGCGGCCUACCAGGCGUUCAACUCGAACCCCGCCAUGCCGACGGAGGAGGCGCCGAUGCCCCACCACGUGGCGCUGCCGGAUAAGUCUUAUAAGGUGACGAAGAGCCUGUACGCCACUUCGGCGGUCGGGCUCCCCAAGUGGGUGGACGACGUGGCUCCGGACCUCGGUUGGUUGACGCAGCGGUCGAGCUGGGUCGGUUACGUUGCGGUGUGCGACGACAGGAGGGAGAUACAGCGGAUGGGCCGCAGAGACGUCGUGAUCGCCCUGCGGGGGACCGCGACGUGUCUCGAGUGGGCGGAGAACUUUCGGACUAAGCUAGCACCGAUAUCGAGUACCGAAGAUCCCAAAUCCAAGGUCGGAUCUGGGUUCCUGAGCUUGUUCAAGACUCCUGGAGCUCACGUGCCGAGCUUGGCGGAGUCGGUCGUUGAGGAAGUCCAACGGCUCAUGGAACUCUACAAGGGCGAGACCCUCAGCAUCACCAUCACCGGUCACAGCCUCGGCGCAGCGCUAGCAUUACUAGUGGCCGAUGAGCUAACAACACGCGUGGCAGAGCUGCCGUCGCUCGCGGUGUUCUCUUUCGGAGGACCUCGGGUCGGGAACAGCGCUUUUGCGGACCGAAUCCGUUCGAAGAAUGUCAAGGUCUUGAGGAUCGUGAACGACCAGGACGUGAUCACCAGAGUGCCCGGGAUGUUCCUGAGCGACGAUUUAGAACGCAAACUGAAAGAGACGGUCGACGGCAUGCUCGAAAACGGGCAGAUGCCUUGGGACUCCUACUCGCACGCGGGGACGGAGCUGCGCCUCGACACGAGGAAGUCGCCGUACCUGAAGCCGAACGCCGACGUCGCCUGCUGCCACGACCUGGAGGCAUACCUACAUCUCGUGGACGGGUUCAUGGCCUCGAAUUGCCCUUUCAGAGCGAACGCGAAGCGUAGUCUAGUGAAGUUGCUAAACGAACAAAGAACUAACGUGAAAAAGCUGUACACGAGCAAGGCCAAUGCCUUAACUUUGAAUGUAGAAAGGGGGCAAAUUAGACCUCCCAACAUGGCUAGCUGCUUGCCUAGCCCAUCUUAACAAAGUUGCCUUCUUAGUUUCAGACAUCAUUCGUGUUUUCUAAACAAAGAACAACCGCGAAACUUUAACUAUGUCCGCGCGAUUAAUAUGCACAGAUGAUUCCCUAAUUGAUGAGAUCAUUCUCGGCGCACGAACGUUCUCCUGUAGUAUCGAAAUCUGCCGUGAAGUUCACUUGGGAAGAAUUUGAGACCUCGUCUCGCCUUACGUUUGAGUGUCGUGCUGGGUGUGCUUCUCCUUGGUCAAGCGCCUGAAACAGCAGGGCAACUGACAACCGGGUCUUGCAAACGCCGACACGCGCGGAGGCGAGGAUCGCUUGGCGAACGAGCAGAAGUUCAAAUUGGUGCGCCGCUCACGAUGUUGUGAUGACUUCAACCUUGAAAAGUCGCACAGUUCUGCACCGACGGGGCAAAAGGGUAAACAGGCGGUGAAGUUGGACAAGUUCUUUAAAAGGUUUUUUUUGGGAUUCCUAACGGUUGACAAGUUCUCGGUCGUUGAAAUGGUAGUUACCCCGGACCGUCGGUGUCGCAUCUCCCGUCGCUAUUGCCAUCUGCCUCCGAGGAUCCAGCCAAUUUUUCAGAGGGAGUUUCGUAUUGUCGUCAAUCUACGUUAUUUACAGAACCCAACUUUUCGAAUUUGAUGUCCCGAUAUUCAAAUGACCAAAACGUCAUAAUCUAUGAUCUUAAUAUGGAAAAAAUGAAUAAAAUAUUAUGCAUCGACAUCUUCGCACGGCUUGCCUAGCAAAUCUCCAAUUCAUAUUCAUAUUCCCCAUUGAAAAUCGUCGCAAAUAAAAACUGAUGGAAAGCUAGACGGAGGAAGAAAAGGGUGGAAAAAUGUAUUACUUUCUCAUAUCAAAGAUGUAUGUGUACAACCUUAUUUAUUGUAAAACUGGAGUCGGGUUUGCCUCAAAACCCGGUGGACCCGAAUUGGUUUGGUUCAGAAAUUGCCAACCCAGUUCAGGAACCGGAUUGGGCUCAGUAGCGAGAUGUGGGCCUCCUCCUGGCCCACUAUUUCCUCAGAAAUUCCUUGGGCUGACCUUGAUGGAUUUGCCUGGCCCUGUGUGGGCUGAACUUGAAUGGGAAAACAAUGGACGAACGGACCCGAGAAAAGCUGCCCUGAAUGGGCCUGAACUGGAGCUGGCCUCGGGAAAGGUUGCCCUUGUCGAGCCUGAUUUGGCCGCCCGUGUUCUCUUCGGUCACCCUGGGUACAUCAAUGCGUGCAUCCGAAGGUGGGUCAUUGGGGCUAUGCGAUGCGCUAAAAUUAGGAAUGAGCAUGGUUCAGGUGAGCGAUUCUUGAAUUUUAGCGUGAGCACAGUCUAUGUGGACGUUCCCAAUUUCAGGAACUGCCUAUUGGUCUUAUGGAUCCACUUCGAAACCGAUCAAAUUACAGUCCAAUUUCCCAAUGGAUCUAUGAAACUAGUUAUCAAUCUCUAUAAAUUGAAUUCAUCAAUUAAUAUCAUAGUAUAUCUAGUUUCUAUUUAUGCUCUUAAAAUGAGUCAUUGGCUCUCAAUUUCACACAUGACAAUAGAGCAUUGCAAUGUUUAUGGACAUCUACCAAUCGAUUCUCUUCUUCCUCUUCAUUUUGUUUAUUUUGUUUUUGCCGAGAAAGCAAGUAAAUACAUUAUUAGAAAAAAAAAAAAACAAGUAGGAUGUUAAUCCCAUUACACAUCCAAGAGACAAAAUUAAUUAAUAAUAUAAAAUAACUGCAAAUAUAUAUGUAUUUAGCCGAAAAACUACAAAAUAAUUGAGUAAUUGAGAUGGAAUUUCUUUUUAAAAAUAUAUAUGUGUACAUUGGUCCAGUUUGGAUGAGUAAGUAGAUAGUUCAACUUCUAAAAUCGGGAAUCAAAGUGGUACCCACUAGUUCCACCAAAUUUGAACUAAGAACCAAAUCGGUCACCAUGGGAACUGUAGAUUCUAGGCUGGUCCAGUCCGAUUCCAAUUUAAGGCAAUUCCAGUUCUGCUGCAUACCCUAGCUAAAAUCAACCUUAUGAUUUUUGGGCAUUUUUCUUGCAGGGUAAAGAAUGGUGCGCAAAAGCUAGUCUAAAUCGAGAGGCUCCAAUACCAUGUCACAAAUUAAAAUCGGCGGAAAUAUGUAUUCCUUUCUCGUAUCAAACAUGCAUGUGCACAACCCUAUUUGUAGUACACAUAGCCUAAAUAAUCCUGGCAAGAAUAUAUAGAAGAAAAGAAAAGAAUGAUUCCACCAUAUGCAGUAUCAAUCAAGGGAAUCAUAUCAAAUCAAUCGGUGCCAAAGAUGUCUCUGUCAUAUCAACAGGAGUAACGAUAUCUCCGACAAAAAUCACCAGGAUCCAUCUCGAAUCCGGCAAGCUCGCAACGCAUGUGGAGGAACUAGUCUUGACGUGAGAGUUACGCCCCCUUGUCAAUGGCAGGCUCUACGUCUAUUUAGAGUAACAUCUACUUUUGUUGCCCUUGUGUUGAUUUUGCCUCAAAUCAAUUCACAUGCAUGCAUGCGAGAAGAACCCAAAGAGCGUGCAGACUGCUUCUUGAAAUUUACUACUCCCGUGCAUAGGAUAUAAAGCACUUGAUUUGUUAGGGGCGUUUUAGGCUGCAUUUGUUAUUGUUUCUUUUUUCUGUUUUCGAACACUUUUUCUGUUUUUCUGUUCCUGGGAACGAAAAAGGAACAAAAACGUGUUCGUGUGCAUUUUUGUUCCAAAAUUAUUUUUUUAUUCCCAGAAACACAUCUAGAACAGAAACAACAAACAAAAAAAAAGUUAUUUUUUAUUUCCAAAACAAAUUUUUUAACACUUUUCUCUUUUUUCUUUGGCCGGUCGCCGGCCUCGGCUAUGGCCGGUGACCGGCCAUCGAGGGUCGGCGAUGCUAUUGAGGGCUGGCGAGACCGAGCGUCGCUGGAUUUAGGCGAGCCUGAGCUCACCCAGCCAAGGCGAGGCCGAGCCUCGCCAAGGGCCGGCGAGCCUUGCAGUGGCUAGGCGAGGCUGUCGGCGGCGACCGGCCAAAAGAAAAAAAAAAGAAAAAAUAAAAAUAAAAAUAAAAUAUUAAAAAUUAAAAGAAACAAAAAAAAUUGUUCCCGGAACAAGUUUACCAAAUAUGUAUUUCUGGUAAAAAAUUGUUCACCGGAACAGAAACAUUUUAUUUAUUUAUUUCCGUUCCCUGGAACAGAAACGUUACCAAACAUGCCUUUACAUUCUGUCGUGUUGGUGCAACAUUCUCAUCAAUUGUUUAAGGAGAAAACUGUCAAAUCAAUCAUACAUUCAUUUUACGGGUGUUAUUUCAGUCAUUAACCUUUAAAUUUGGCUAAUUUAGUCUUUAAAUUUAUGUGAGAUUCCAAUAUAAUUUUGCCGGUCAUCUUUUGCUGGGAACUUGCCGGCGUAAUUAUAUGUCACGUAAGACGGCCGACGAUGAUUGUGCUGCCUCGCAAGCGAUUCAACCAAAAUGGACAAAGACCAAAUUAUGGAAAACGGCAUCAUAUCAAGGCUUACGGUUAAAAUUUACAAUGCGAACGUAUCAAGAUGUAGCAUACUUCUUUACACAAAAGACCAAAUUACGCGAAAAUAACUGUAUAAAUUUAGCCCGCUGUAAAUAAAACGAAACUGAGGUGUUCCGUGGGCGUGGAAAAUUGAGGAAAUCGGUAAUAGCGUGGCCGCAAAGGUUCCUGGUUGUGCCGCCCACGAUGGGCCAAGAAAGAUUCCCUAUGAAGCAAAAGGCCUUUAUAGCUCUUACAACGUCAGAGUUCUCUCUCUCUCUCUCUCUUCAUUUUCCCUUAAUACGGUCUUAUUAAUGAAAUAAAAAGUCAAUACUGUUGCUUAAAAAAAUUACGAAGAAAUCACGCGUGAACUUACGUAUCAAAAUCUACGCAUUGCGAAAGUUCCGAGUAUUGAGAAUUAAAAUAAAGUAACUAAUCUAUCACAAGAUUUGUAUUAACCAAAAAAGUAAAAAAAUUGUACAGACAAGUUCUUAGUCAUUCGAGCUGUUGAAAGAGGUAAAUUUUCGUAACGUCUGUAUUCUUUUUAUUUCACACUUACCAAAUCUCUUUGAACGCGGAAAUUAUUAUUUUUUUUAAUUUUUUUCGCAACCAUUUUUCGAAGUCAUCGUGAAAGAAAAAAAAUAAAAUUCCCUCGUUGAUUUCUCGUUCGGCCCAUCCCACCGACUUCGACUUAACAGCGACAGGGCAUUGGAAAAACAUCCGACCAAUCAGAGAAGCGCUCGCAUCCUCGCUACGAUAGACCCGCCCGCGGCCGCGCAUUCCCCCUCCUAGGGUUUUAUAAGAGCCGAGCCUCGUCGCAAGUUCCCUUCUUCCUCGGCCGCCUUCCUUAGGGUUUACAGUCGUUCGCUUCCGCUCGCGAGCAACCGCAUUUCCGCCCCCCGCCAUCUCCCUCUUCCUUCCUCUCUCGAGCUUCGGCCCGUCCUAGGUUAAAGCAAAGCUCCGCCAUGGCUCGCGGCGGGCUGUAGGGUUUCGCGGUUGCUGUCUGGUUGCGCCGGCGGUCGAGGUCCGAGAGGAAGGCGAGAGCUCCUUGAGGUAGAGAGAGAGAGAGAGAGAGAGAGAUGGCGACCGCGAACCCUUUCGACAUCCUCGGUGACGACGACAAUGAGGACCCCAGCCAGCUCCUCGCCGCCGCCGCCGCCGCCGCCGCCGCCAAGCCGGCCGAGAAGCCGAAGAAGGGCCCGGCCCAGGCCGCCGCCCCGCCGUCGAAGCCGGCCGCCAAGCUGCCCUCCAAGCCGCUCCCCCCUGCUCAAGCUGGUGAGUGAGCUCUGCCGCGGCUCCGUUUCGGUUUCUGGCGUUGAUUUUGUUGCUCUUAGCGGUGUGGAAUCUCGAUAUUUGUCAUCCGUCUUUUCACUUGAGGAGUGAAAAAAAUCAAUCCUUUUGCUGUAAUUAUGAGACAUUGAAAUGAAGAGAGCGUGUAUUUAGAUAGCGAUUUGAGAAGAUUGUUGCCGCAAAUGAGAAAUUUUGGGGAAAUUUCGGAUUGAUUCUGUUGUGAUUUCUUGGUAAACAUGGGUUGACUCUGUGAGCGAGAAAGCUGCAGCGCAAGGUCGUUUCAGGUAAAUUUUUGCUGUAUUGAUUAUUGUUUAGCUUCAAUGCGCUGGCUUGUAAGUAUUGCGCUUUGCGGUCAUUCUAGUAAUAGGGAUUUUCUUGCCUUUUAAGCCAUAGUUGCAAUUGGUAAUUUAGAUGUGUGCUGAGUACCUUCACUUGAAAUUGUUGACUGUCAGCGCUAAAGUACGAGCUUCUUGUACUUAAGCGGACCAGUUUUUGACCAGCCGUUUGAUGUUGCAUUUGGGCGAGAUCAACGAACAAAAUAAAGUUAGAAAACUUUUGUCUUUUUUCCCAUUUAGUCUCAUGCUUCAAAUACCAUUUACUUAAGUUAAUAUUUAAUUUUCUGUCUGACUUGGCUUAUAGCUGGGAUGGUGAAAAGUAUCGGAACUUUUGCUUGAUUGUUCUGGUGCUUGUAAACCUGUCUUUGCCUUUCUCUUACUUAAGUCGGUGAUAGUUUUUCCCAAGAACUAUAUUUGGAAAUUGACGAACUAUAUGAUGAUAUUCUGUAACAGUGAAGGAAGCAAGGAGUGACACUGGUGGGCGCGGACGUGGUCGUGGAGGUGGUCGGGGUUACGGCCGUGGCCGUGGAGGCGGUCGUGGCUAUGACCAAGAUUCAGGGAACUACGAUGGACCAGCUGGCAAUAAUGGUUUUUCUGGUGGUUAUAGACCCUCGGAGGAAGGAGAUUCUGGAAAAUCAUCUGACAGGGGUGGUCGUGGCUUUUUCCGCGGAGGUCGCCCUGGUGGUUAUAACAAUGAAGAAGCUGGUGAGGGGGAGCGUCCAAGGAGAGCGUUUGAUCGCCGCAGUGGCACUGGACGAGGGUUGGUAUUGUAGACAAGAAUGUUACAUCUUAGCAAUUUUAGUCUCUCUCUCUCUCUCUCACACACACACGCACACACGCGCGCGCACACUCAUAUGCACACGCACAAGAAUGCACCUUUCCAAUGCAUCCAAGAAGUUAAUCACACACUCAAGUAUGCGCCCUCCCAUGUUAUGCACACAUACAUGCAAAUGGACAACCCAUAUACAUGCCCAAAGUUGUGCUAUUAAUGCUGAUCCAAAAUAAUUGCUUCAGAAAUGAGACUAAACGAGAUGGAGCUGGUCGUGGAAACUGGGGAGCUCCAACUGAUGAAAUUGCUCCGUAUGCACUUUGUUUGCUAACUUUUGAUAUCUAACUAUUAUUAUUAUUUUUUUUCCUUUGGGCGAUUCUUUUGAUCUAUUGAUAUUGUUAUUUUUGCAAUGCUCAGAGAGACUGAAGAACCUGUCACUGAAGUUGAGAAAACUGGGGGUUCUGAGAAGCAGUUGGCUGGUGAGGAUGGUGCAGAUGCUAGCAAGGAGAAACCUCUGAAUGAACCAGAAGAAAAGGAGCCUGAAGAUAAGGUAAAUCUAUCGUGUGUUCAUGGAUCAUCUUUAUGGAUCAGUUGUCCUCUUCUGGGCUGCACCCUGUAUUCUGUGACAGUAUCAUGGUCCAACCCUUUUCUUAUGAUCAAGUAGUUUUCAAAAGCCAUUCCUACUUUCAAGACCAUGCUCAAUCUGUGGAGAGAAGCUUGAUUUGGCCAAAUGCAUAUUUUAUUCAUUUGGGGUGGGUUAAUUGUUUGACUUUGUUGUUCGGAGUGUUUCUAUCUGUGUAUUAAGAAUACUUGAGAAUGCAUGGUAAGCCGAAAUUAAAUGGCUGAAAAGCUCAAGAGUGGCAAUUACUACAGCAAUAGUGGAAGGAAAAAGCUGGGCAGUAGUACCACCUGAAUAAGGGAAGUACUUCUCUAGGCUUAACUUCCCUUAGUUUCUCUCCAUUUCCACCCAGUCAAUCAAAGUUUUGAUCUUAUCUGCGUCUACUUUCUAAAGAAGCAGAAUUGUUGCAAGUGCUCCAACCACCUCCCUUGGAGCUUGUAAUUUUCUUUUUUUAUCUGAUGCUCAUGAAGAAGCGAAAAUGUCAGGAUGAUUCUGGGGAUGGAUGAUCAGGAGCACUUUAUAGUUUUCCACCUUUCUUUCUUCUGUCUUGAGAUGAAAUAUAUAUGCUGGCAUGCCAAAAGAACUCCUGGCCUGCACUUAGAAGAGGAAUUCUUCAAGUCACUUGAAGAUUGAUUGAUACUGUUGGGGUAUAGGUUAUUGAGAUGUUUAGAAUUGCAAUACCCCAUCGUGCUUUCGCUGGGGAUCGAAGAUACUGUUUGCUAUUUCUGUAAACAAGUCUAUCUACCAAUCUACCUGAGGAAAAUUGAUAAGGUUUCUUUUUUUAAGUUGUAGGGAAUGUUUGCUUAGCUUGUGGGAAGGAGGAUAGGAAGCUGCAUUUGUUACUUUGUCGGUCGAAGUAACAUUAUUGGCCAGACAGACUGAAAAAGAUUGUUUAUUCAAGUUUUGUUGGAAAAGAGUUCUAUCCCAGUCUGUCUGAUCAGCCAACCUUAGGAUUUGUGUUAUAAAAUUGUUGUCCACAGCCUUUAAUGUUUUGACCUAUUUGACAUGUAUUUUUCCAACUUAUUUAGGAGAUGACAUUAGAAGAGUAUGAGAAGGUCUUUGAAGAGAACAGGAAGUCAUUGCUUGCACUGAAGACUGAGGAAAGGAAAGUAGAGCUGGACAAAGAUUUGAAGUCCAUGCAACAACUUUCUAACAAGAAGAAGGACAACAAUGACAUCUUUAUCAAGCUGGUGAGAAUAAUUGUUAAUUGUUUUUGUUUUCAUAUUUUCAUUAAUGGUUGCUGAGAAACAUCAUGCUAACCAAGCCUUUUUUUUUUUGUUUUUUGGUUGUAGGGAUGUGAGAAGGACAAACGCAAAGAGGCUGCUGAGAAAGAAGAGAAAGCCAAGAAGGUUUGCUUUAGAGAUCUGAGUUUACUUCAUGUUCUUAGAUAUCUAAUUGAAGAUGCCUCCUUUUCAUGUAUUCAUGUCUCCACAUAAGAAUUGAAUGCUGUGCGGGCUUUGCUUCAUAAUUGGUGUCUCCUCACGUCCAUGCAUUCUUUUGUCUGUAGUCUGUCAGCAUAAAUGAGUUUCUGAAGCCUGCUGAAGGGGAGAGAUACUACAACCCGGGUGGUCGUGGGCGAGGACGUGGCCGUGGUGCCAGAGGUGGUUAUGGCGGUGGCGGUGGCGGUGGCGGUGGCGGUGGCUAUGCUAGAGAUGUCUCUGCUCCUUCGAUCGAGGAUCCUGGCCAGUUCCCUUCCCUUGGUGGGAAAUAAGGUUUUGCCACCGCAUAUACUUCAGGUUGAUAUACUUCAUGCUUGAAGUUGUUGUGACCUUCCAGGACAGUUGGGUAUGAACGGGAAUGCUAUUCUUCCUGUAAUAGAAACCUUUGGAUGGAUGUUAUUCGUCUUUUUGAGUGUAAAAAUUUUAGUUACUCCAUGGAUUUACUUUGGUUUUCUUUUGACUCGAAUCAGUUUUGAUUUUGUUAGAUGAGAAUGAAUUUAGCCUCUUACGCGACUCUUGCUUCCUUCAAGUUGAAUUUAUAUUAUUGUCCCAAUACAUGUGAUCUCGAAGGCAAUGAUAUCUGCUCCGUUGCUACAUAUCCCUGCUUCAUCCUGUUCGGUCACAUUAGUGAUCUGUGAUAGCAGGGAUGUGGAUGAGCACCACAACUCACAAGUCACAAAGAUACCCUUCAGGGUGGAUAGUUUUGAUGAUUUGCUUGAGCACUUCGAUUUCCCUAAGGUGAUGGUCCCUUCUUACUUGCCAAGAUGUCAUUCAAUCUACAGGAUGAUUCACAAAGAGCGAAGGAGAGGUUGAAGCCACUAAUUAAGUUGGUGCUACAAGUGUUGAUGAACGUGUUUAGGUCUCUCUUCUGGCUCCGAGCUGUUCUACGGAUGAAGGCUCUCUUUCUAAAUAUUAUGAUCCAGCUGAGUUUUAGAGAUUUGUUAUCUUGUCAAGAUCCGUGAAAUGGACAUGGCUAGUUCCCACGUGACACCGGCCUUGGUGGCCGAUCCUUACCAAUGCCAUCAGAUAUUGCGUGUCUAGACACGGCCAUAUUGAAAAUGAACGAGAUUGGAGCGACGGUAAUGGCCAUCUCUGCAUCAUAUCUGCAAGGAGGAGGGAUUUGACGUGUCGGGAGCAACGCCCCUCGACCUUCCAUGAUCUGGUGCAUCGGCAUGGAGGUGAAAUGUAUUCCUAAGCGCUUAGAUACUCAAGUUCAUGGUUACGUGUAGGAUACAUGGGACUACAGCUGGGUUCUUAAGUAGGUUCAUGGAGCUGGUCGAAAUGCCCUCACUUUGGAAGAGGCAUGAGAUUUGAGAGUGAGUGACGAGGUUGGAUGUUAGAGGUGACCAAGAGAGAGAGUGAUAGAGGGAGCGACGGAUUGACAAGGCUGGAGACUACCGAGAGUGAGAGGAAGAGAUGGAGGCGAGAGAUGAAAAAAUUAGGACUAUGUAUAUAUUCUUUUGUAAAAUUAGGACUAUGUAUAUAUUCUUUUGUAAAAUUAGGACUAUGUAUAUAUUCUUUUGUACACUCUUGAUCUCAAACGAGCAAAUGAGAGCUGUAGCCGUUGAUCUUGUGGGUCGCACGCGCAGCAAAAGUCAUGGAAGGCUGCGAUGCUGGUUCGUCCUCGGUCCAUUUCAUGGUGGGCGAGCGAGUGGUGAUCAAGAGAAAAUUUGCGGGUCGUUGUGCCCAUCACCGGCCCCAGAGAAAGCACGACUCGGAUAGGACCGCCACGUCACAGCGAUCCCCGAUCUGGAAAUUUGUCAUCUUAUUUAAGCAAGAAGACGACACUCCCCCGAACACAAUAAAAGUGAGAAAAAACCAACAUGGAUGCUGUCGCAUACGUUCGGCAGAGCGCGUCAAGGGGACAAAAGCAUGGACCGAACGAAUCAUUAUCAUUCGGACAUUCGAGCUAUCGAGAAAGAGCAAUGGAAUUCAAACUGAAUAUCAUGUCUUCCACGAAUCUUAUCAAAUCUCAUCCCACAUUAUUCUUUUAUUCAUUCAUGCUCUUUUGUUCCCUUUUAGGUAAGAUUAUAAUGCGUAAAACGAUAUUUAGACUAUAUAAGAUUCGACCCGCAUGAAAGGGAUCUUAUCAAUUUAUGCAAACCUCCGAUACAAUUGAAUAUAUAUAUGUCUUGCUGACAAGGAGUUGGAUUAGAUGGUAAGGGAACUCUCUUGUCCUUGUGAUUUUCAAUUUGAGUCUUCUCUUAAGCACUCGAGAAGUAAAAUCUCGAAUGCAGCAAAUUAAUACGAAGGGAUGCACUCUUCAAUUUGUCUCAAGAGAUAGAUUGAUCAAGGUGUACGGAAAUUUGUGUGGACACUACCUGAUCACGAAACCCAUAUAUACACAUAUGGUUAUGGGUAGUCUUCAGCAUGUUCCAGGUCUUAGUUCUAGUACAACUAAUUCCUCGUCGAAAUGUAAUUAUAUCCUCGAGAGUUUUAUCGCAGUUUCUAUUGAGAUUGUCGUAGCUCCUUUUUUUUUUUUUUUAAUGAAUAAAUCGAGUUUGGGGUAUCUCGGUAAUUUAAGAGCUACAGUGCAAGAGAGAAUUCGGUGACAUUAGCUUCGGAAAAGUAUGCAAGAUCGAGCGUCCGCAGAUCGCUCGCAUCGCCUCGACGGAAUCCAGGGGCGAGCUUACGGUGCGCCCGGUCGCAGCCGAACGCGCCCCCGGGGGCCUUUUAUAAGAGACGGAGGGAGAGGGCUUUUCCGCCUGAGGUUAUCUUCUUUUCCUGCCGCAUUCGCUAGGGUUUUCAGUCACUCUCUCUCUCUCUCUACACUCUCUUCAAGCUCCCUCAUCUUUCCACCAUCACUUUCUCUCUCUACCGACCUCUGCUCUCCUCCGGCGGCAGCUUCGAUCCGUCAAUCGCAUGGCUCGCAGCGGCAGCAGCAGCAGCAGCAGCAGCAGCGCGCUCUAGGGUUUCGGCGGUUGCUUCUCGAUAAGCGCGGCGUCCGGGGGGUGUCUCUUUUUCUUUGUCUCGAGGCGAGAGCAGAAGAGGGAUGGCGACCAUGAACCCUUUCGACAUCCUCGGCGACGACGACAAUGAGGACCCCACCCAGCUCCUCGCCGCCGCCAAGCCGGUCGAGAAGCCGAAGAAGGCUCCGGCUCCGGCCGCCGCCCCGCCGCCGCCUAAGCCGGCCGCCUCGCUGCCGUCCAAGCCCC